RNAcentral lists this ribosomal RNA (497 nucleotides) under uncultured bacterium. RNAcentral describes it as "partial 16S ribosomal RNA". It matches the Rfam family "Bacterial small subunit ribosomal RNA", at positions 28 to 507 of the family's 1533-position model. The record is from RNAcentral.
GACGAACGCUGGCGGCGUGCCUAAUACAUGCAAGUUGAGCGAUGAAGCUUGGUGCUUGCACCAAUUUGAAGAGCAGCGAACGGGUGAGUAACGCGUGGGGAAUCUGCCUUUGAGCGGGGGACAACAUUUGGAAACGAAUGCUAAUACCGCAUAACAACUUUAAACAUAAGUUUUAAGUUUGAAAGAUGCAAUUGCAUCACUCAAAGAUGAUCCCGCGUUGUAUUAGCUAGUUGGUGAGGUAAAGGCUCACCAAGGCGAUGAUACAUAGCCGACCUGAGAGGGUGAGCGGCCACAUUGGGACUGAGACACGGCCCAAACUCCUACGGGAGGCAGCAGUAGGGAAUCUUCGGCAAUGGACGAAAGUCUGACCGAACAACGCCGCGUGAGUGAAGAAGGUUUUCGGAUCGUAAAACUCUGUUGGUAGAGAAGAACGUUGGUGAGAGUGGAAAGCUCAUCAAGUGACGGUAACUACCCAGAAAGGGACGGCUAACUACGUG